CCUACGGGUGGCAGCAGUAGGGAAUUUUCGUCAAUGGGCGCAAGCCUGAACGAGCAAUGCCGCGUGAACGAGGAAGGUCUUCUGAUCGUAAAGUUCUGUUGAAGGGGAAAAAGAGCGGAGAGAGGAAAUGAACUCCGAUUGAUAUUACCCUUCGAGGAAGUCACGGCUAACUACGUGCCAGCAGCCGCGGUAAUACGUAGGUGGCGAGCGUUAUCCGGAAUGAUUGGGCGUAAAGGGUGCGUGGGCGGCCUGCUAAGUCUGGAGUGAAAGGUACCGGCUCAACCGGGAUCGGCUGUGGAAACUGGGGGGCUAGAGUGCAGGAGAGGGCGGUGGAAUGCGAUGUGUAGCGGUAAAAUGCGUAGAUAUAGGGAAGAACACCAGUGGCGAAGGCGGCCGCCUGGACUGUGACUGACGCUGAGGCACGAAAGCGUGGGGAGCAAAUAGGAUUAGAUACCCUUGUAGUC
RNAcentral lists this ribosomal RNA (464 nucleotides) under uncultured bacterium. RNAcentral describes it as "partial 16S ribosomal RNA". It matches the Rfam family "Bacterial small subunit ribosomal RNA", at positions 338 to 795 of the family's 1533-position model. The record is from RNAcentral.